CCUACGGGGGGCAGCAGUGAGGAAUAUUGGUCAAUGGACGAGAGUCUGAACCAGCCAAGUAGCGUGAAGGAUGACUGCCCUAUGGGUUGUAAACUUCUUUUAUUUGGGAAUAAAAUGUUCCACGUGUGGGAUUUUGUAUGUACCAUAUGAAUAAGGAUCGGCUAACUCCGUGCCAGCAGCCGCGGUAAUACGGAGGAUCCGAGCGUUAUCCGGAUUUAUUGGGUUUAAAGGGAGCGUAGGUGGAUUGUUAAGUCAGUUGUGAAAGUUUGCGGCUCAACCGUAAAAUUGCAGUUGAAACUGGCAGUCUUGAGUACAGUAGAGGUGGGCGGAAUUCGUGGUGUAGCGGUGAAAUGCUUAGAUAUCACGAAGAACUCCGAUUGCGAAGGCAGUUCACUGGACUGCAACUGACACUGAGGCUCGAAAGUGUGGGUAUCAAACAGGAUUAGAUACCCCUGUAGUC
RNAcentral lists this ribosomal RNA (460 nucleotides) under uncultured bacterium. RNAcentral's name for it is "partial 16S ribosomal RNA". It matches the Rfam family "Bacterial small subunit ribosomal RNA", at positions 338 to 795 of the family's 1533-position model. The record is from RNAcentral.